Portunus trituberculatus (swimming crab) is the source of this 289-nucleotide long non-coding RNA. RefSeq lists it as uncharacterized. The transcript has 2 exons. The record is from RefSeq and is a predicted model, not a curated record. NCBI's taxonomy places the organism in Eukaryota, Metazoa, Arthropoda, Malacostraca, Decapoda, Portunidae.
ACCUCGAAGCUCCUCUGCUAGUUUCACGGAGCUUGUAGGGAGAGCGGACCUGGGAGAGUGUUAUAGCGAUCCAGAGGCACCGACAGGAAAAGAGAGUGCAGGGACCAAUGGAGACCGCUCACAGAAAAGUCACACAACCGCGAGAGAGAAUGGAAAAAGAAACGAGGCUGUCAUUUUAAGUAUAGGAGACAAAGAACACGAAGAAAAUGAAGAGGAUGAAAGAGAAGAUAGAAGGAAAAAGAGGAGAGGAAUGUAACUGAAUUUAUUGAUCUAUGCACCAAUAUGAGGA